The sequence is a ribosomal RNA, 937 nucleotides long. The stretch from base 171 to 324 matches the Rfam family "5.8S ribosomal RNA".
CAACCCAAAUGUGAACAUUACCAAUCCGUUGCUUCCGGCGGACUCCGUCCCGGCGUCCGGGUGGCCUUGCGCUGCCCGCGGCCCGGAUCCAGGCGGCCGCCGGAGGCCAUCAAACUCUUUGUAUUACCAGUAUCUUCUGAAUCCGCCGCAAGGCAAAACAAAUGAAUCAAAACUUUCAACAACGGAUCUCUUGGUUCUGGCAUCGAUGAAGAACGCAGCGAAAUGCGAUAAGUAAUGUGAAUUGCAGAAUUCAGUGAAUCAUCGAAUCUUUGAACGCACAUUGCGCCCGCCAGCAUUCUGGCGGGCAUGCCUGUUCGAGCGUCAUUUCAACCCUCGAGCUCCCUUUGGGGAGCCCGGCGUUGGGGACCGGCCUCUACCGCCGCCCCCGAAAUACAGUGGCGGCCCCGUCACGGCGACCUCUGCGUAGUAACUCAACCUCGCACCGGAAACCCGACGUGGCCACGCCGUAAAACACCCCACUUCUGAACGUUGACCUCGGAUCAGGUAGGAAUACCCGCUGAACUUAAGCAUAUCAUAAAGACGGGAAAGAAAAUUCAUUACGGAGUUUACAACUCCCAAACCAAAAUGUUGAACCUUACAAUCGUUGCUUCGGCGGACUCUUCCGGCUUCGGGUUGGCCUUGCGCUGCCGGGCCGGAACCAGGCGGCGCCGGAGGCCAUCAACUCUUUGUUAUUACAGUUAUCUUCUGAAAUCGCAGGGCAAAAAAAAUGAAUCAAAAUUUCACGCGNAUCUUGGUUCUGGCAUCAUGAAGAACGCAGCGAANUGCGAUAAGUAAUGUGAAAUUGCAGAAUUCAUUGAAAUCACGAAACCUUUGAACGCCAAUUGGUGCCCCCGCAUUUUGGGCGGGGAUGCGCGUGUUAGAGUGAUAUUUAUCCCCUACCCUCUCUUGUGAGAGACCGUCGGUGUGGUGAGNCGUG